UGGUCAUGUUAUUAAGGGUGCAGGGCGGAUGCCUUGGCACUAGGAGCCGAUGAAGGACGUGAUAAGCUGCGAUAAGCUUCGGGGAGUUGCACGUAAACUUUGAUCCGAAGAUUUCCGAAUGAGGAAACUCACUUAGAGUAAUGUCUAAGUAUCAUUAAGUGAAUACAUAGCUUAAUGAGGGGAACUCAGGGAACUGAAACAUCUAAGUACCUGAAGGAAGAGAAAGAAAUUCGAUUCCGUAAGUAGCGGCGAGCGAACGCGGAUUAGCCCAAACCAAUAAAGUGUUCUUUAUUGGGGUUGCGGACAUAUCAUAACGAAGAGGUAUCGUAAUUGAAGAGGUUUGGAAAGACCCACCACAGAAGGUAAUAGUCCUGUAUGUUAAACGAGAAGACUU
RNAcentral lists this ribosomal RNA (394 nucleotides) under Clostridioides difficile. RNAcentral's name for it is "bacterial LSU rRNA". It matches the Rfam family "Bacterial large subunit ribosomal RNA", at positions 1 to 395 of the family's 2925-position model. The record is from RNAcentral. Lineage: Bacteria; Bacillati; Bacillota; Clostridia; Peptostreptococcales; Peptostreptococcaceae.